RNAcentral lists this ribosomal RNA (475 nucleotides) under uncultured bacterium. RNAcentral's name for it is "bacterial SSU rRNA". It matches the Rfam family "Bacterial small subunit ribosomal RNA", at positions 970 to 1445 of the family's 1533-position model. The record is from RNAcentral.
CUUACCCACCUUUGACAUGUACGGAACCCUCCAGAGAUGGAGGGGUGCCCGAAAGGGAGCCGUAACACAGGUGCUGCAUGGCUGUCGUCAGCUCGUGUCGUGAGAUGUUGGGUUAAGUCCCGCAACGAGCGCAACCCUUGUCAUUAGUUGCUACAUUUAGUUGGGCACUCUAAUGAGACUGCCGGUGACAAACCGGAGGAAGGUGGGGAUGACGUCAAGUCCUCAUGGCCCUUAUAGGUGGGGCUACACACGUCAUACAAUGGCCGGUACAAAGGGCUGCCAACCCGCGAGGGGGAGCUAAUCCCAUAAAACCGGUCGUAGUCCGGAUCGUAGUCUGCAACUCGACUACGUGAAGUCGGAAUCGCUAGUAAUCGUGGAUCAGAAUGUCACGGUGAAUACGUUCCCGGGUCUUGUACACACCGCCCGUCACACCAUGGGAGCGGGUUCUGCCAGAAGUAGUUAGCCUAACCGCAAG